CAAGGUCACUCCAAAUCAAACAUAGGUCUAAGUUCUAAGUCCAAAGUCCAAAGUUUUCAACAUGACUCCAAGUCAAGCAUGGGUCUUAAAGAUCAAGUAUAUCCAUUUUAUCAUGUUUUGAUUCAUUGAGAUUGUCAAGCAAACCAAGCACAAGACAAGAAGCAUAAGAUAAACAAGAUAAACAAGAAAAGAUGAAUAAUGUAUGAAGGUAGAUGAUGAAUAAUGAGACAUAAAAGUAAAUUGUAUAAAGUAAAUGUUAGGAGGUUAGAUGUAAUAAGUUAUUGAUUAUGAGGCAAGCAAUGUAUGUGGCAAUCAUGUUAGAUUGUUGAUACAAAAUCAAACUCUCAAUGCAUGAAGCACAAUUGUUCAAAACUCAAAGAAGAAAGAAGAGGACAAAGGGAAAAAUGAAAGAAAGCUUAAGUUCUUGACUUAGGAUCCAC
This 440-nucleotide long non-coding RNA is filed under the name Lathyrus oleraceus (garden pea). RNAcentral's name for it is "Pisum sativum (pea) long non-coding RNA (PSAT_LNC001579)". The record is from RNAcentral. Lineage: Eukaryota; Viridiplantae; Streptophyta; Magnoliopsida; Fabales; Fabaceae.